GGAGAGUUGUUUGAAAGGAAUGGAUUGUAGGACGGGGAAGGGGAGGUCUUGAUGGUCCUAUGGUGUAAAUUUGGGACGGUUUGGGAUUGGGUCGCCGGAGACAGUUGUUCCGGUGAACCUUGUUCUGAAUAUUCGAGUAGAUCUGUGUUCACUCAAAAGAAACUAACUACAGGAAGGGGAAGAGGGGGUCAUGGUGGUCUGGUGGUGUAAAGUUGGGGUGGUUUGGUGACCGGCCACUGCCGUGAGGCUAUUUCCGGCGGCGGCGAAAUAGGGUGGUUGCUGGGUGGUCAAGGGCGGUCAAAGGGUGGUCAUAAGGCAGUCAAGGGGAGGGGAUACACCGGAGUGUAUG
RNAcentral lists this long non-coding RNA (349 nucleotides) under Nicotiana benthamiana. Its description in RNAcentral is "long non-coding RNA (NBEN_LNC027211)". Lineage: Eukaryota; Viridiplantae; Streptophyta; Magnoliopsida; Solanales; Solanaceae. The record is from RNAcentral.